CUACAUCCACUCCCCAAGACCUCUUGGAAAUUUCACUAUAAUUCCUCAGAUUACAGUCGGUUGUUUUACAAGCUCACAACCCAACUUGUUGUUUUGCGAGAUCAUAACGAACUCGGUCGGUUUUCACAGGCUCACCGACUAGAACCUACCGAUUGUUUUCACGGGCUCACAAUCCAACCCAGUUGGUUUUCCCAAAGGCUCACCAACCACAACCUUACAACAUUGGUUUUCCCUUUGGCUCACCAACAAACCUUAACACCGUUGGUUUUCCUUUGGCUCACCAACAAACCUUAACCCCUUG
This 301-nucleotide long non-coding RNA is filed under the name Phoenix dactylifera (date palm). Its description in RNAcentral is "long non-coding RNA (PDAC_LNC014578)". The record is from RNAcentral. Lineage: Eukaryota; Viridiplantae; Streptophyta; Magnoliopsida; Arecales; Arecaceae.